This is a long non-coding RNA of Mytilus californianus (California mussel), 1042 nucleotides long. RefSeq lists it as uncharacterized. The transcript is spliced from 3 exons. NCBI's taxonomy places the organism in Eukaryota, Metazoa, Mollusca, Bivalvia, Mytilida, Mytilidae. The record is from RefSeq and is a predicted model, not a curated record.
UGUUUGAUUUCAAAGUCAAAUGACGGAAUAUUGUGCAACCCGAACUGAUGAUAAUCCUCAUCAUGCUGAGACUGAAGAUAAGCCACAUCAAGCUGGGAGACCAGGCUCAUAUUGUGAUUUUGUCUCCAACAUUAAAUUUUUGCGGACAGUUAUCAUUGUUCUAUCUGUAUUGCUGAUUGUUUUAUUGAUAGUAAUAGGUGUUAUCACAAGCAAGAAUGAUACAUACAUUACGAAACCAAAUGACAAUAAUUUUCAACAAAACCCUGACUUCGAAAGGAUCAUUCCACCGAAUAAUGAUCCUUUUUGCCAGUUUCCCUUUCCUCGCACAAACGUGAGCUUCAUGAAAUGUUUUCUUCCCUACAAGGGAGAAUAUAUUGUAAACUGCGUUUUUGAUUUACCUGCACAAGUUACAAGAAUUUGUGCUAUGAAUGAUACUACUCACCAUUAUAAACUUGACUGUGCUUCGAAUUCAUCAUUUGGAUAUUAUUGCAAGCAAGUUUGCUCAGAAAACUGCGCCUUCGAUUGUAAAGAUGAUUGUACCCAAUUUUCAAUAACGGUACCUAAAUCUGGUAUUCUUCUACUUGAGAUUGGUAAUAACUGUUUACAAAAUGAUGGAUAUAUUGAAAUAUGGAAUGCAACGUUUCACAGAAGGGUUAAACGGGAAAGGCAAAGUCAGAAUCAAAGGAACAGGGAAUAAAAAGACGUAACAAGAAAAUAAAGACACAAUUGUUUUCGUUUUGUAAUAUAUGAACCAGUAAAUAACAGUGUUAGAUACAAAAACAGUUAUGUUGCAAACAAACCUAUGAACAAUGCGACGAAAAAUAAAAGAAAUCAAAUUAAAAGUAUACAAUGCAAACAGAGAUAACACAUAGCGAAACUUUCAGCAAGACAUACUCUCUCAAAAAGACCUAAAGGGAAAUUAAGAGAUCUAGAAGGCACAGCAUUCCAAACAUGUAGUCAGAACUCAUCUAAGAUACCAGCAUUAUAAUUUAGUUUGCCACACGCGCGUUUCAAACCGAUAAUGUAUAUCUUUCAGCUAAAA